RNAcentral lists this ribosomal RNA (253 nucleotides) under uncultured bacterium. Its description in RNAcentral is "partial 16S ribosomal RNA". It matches the Rfam family "Bacterial small subunit ribosomal RNA", at positions 524 to 776 of the family's 1533-position model. The record is from RNAcentral.
UACGGAGGGGGCGAGCGUUAUUCGGAAUUACUGGGCGUAAAGCGCGCGUAGGCGGCUUUUCAAGUCGAUUGUGAAAUCCCCGGGCUUAACCUGGGAACUGCAGUCGAGACUGUCUAGCUAGAGUAUGGGAGAGGGAAGUGGAAUUUCAGGUGUAGCGGUGAAAUGCGUAGAUAUCUGAAGGAACAUCAGUGGCGAAAGCGACUUCCUGGACCAAUACUGACGCUCAUGUGCGAAAGCGUGGGGAGCAAACAGG